RNA transcript from Myotis lucifugus (little brown bat), 2952 nucleotides. It is a transcript of the gene named serpin family E member 1, with no coding region annotated. The record is from RefSeq and is a predicted model, not a curated record. NCBI's taxonomy places the organism in Eukaryota, Metazoa, Chordata, Mammalia, Chiroptera, Vespertilionidae. The transcript has 9 exons.
AUAAAGGCAGGCAGCUGCCUCCCUAACAGCACAGCUGUGUUUGGCUGCAGGGCUAAGGACACUGUCAAGAGACACACCACUCUCCAGCAGCAACAGAAUCACCACCAUCUGCAGCAGCAGCUGGACAAACCACCAUUCACAAGGCACUUUGAGAACUUCAGGAUGAAAGUGUCUCCAGUCUUUGCCUGCCUAGCUCUGGGCCUGGCCUUCAUCCUUGGUAAAGGAUCUGCCUCAGACCAUCGUCAGCUUGAGGCGGCCCAAAUGGUCACAGAUUUUGGAAUGAAGGUGUUUCAGCAGGUGGCCGAGGCCUCCAAGGACAGUAAUGUGAUUUUCUCACCUUAUGGGGUGGCCUCAGUCCUUGCCAUGCUGCAGCUAACAACCAGAGGAGAAACCAGGCAGCAGAUCCAAGCAGCAAUGCAAUUCGAUAUUGAAGAGAAGGGUAUGGCCCCUGCCCUUCGUCAACUGUACAAGGAACUCAUGGGGCCAUGGAACAAGGAUGAGAUCAGCAUCGCCGAUGCCAUCUUCGUCCAGCGGGAUCUGAAGCUGGUUCAAGGUUUCAUGCCUCACUUCUUCAGGCUGUUCCGCACCACAGUCAAGCAGGUGGACUUUUCAGAGAUUGAGAGAGCCAGGUUCAUCAUCAAUGACUGGGUGAAGAGACACACAAAAGGCAUGAUUAGUGACUUACUUGGUGAAGGGGCCGUGGACAGUCUGACACGCCUGGUACUAGUGAAUGCCCUGUACUUCAAUGGCCACUGGAAGACACCCUUCCCAGAGUUGGGCACCCACCACCGCCUCUUCCACAAGUCCGAUGGCAGCACUGUCUCGGUGCCCAUGAUGACUCAGACCAGCAAGUUCAACUACACUGAGUUUUCCACCCCUGAUGGCCAUUACUACGACAUCUUGGAGUUGCCCUACCAUGGGGACACUCUCAGCAUGUUCAUUGCUGCUCCCUAUGAAAAAGAGGUGCCUCUCUCAGCCCUCACCAACAUUCUGGAUGCCCAGCUCAUCAGCCAGUGGAAAGGAAAUAUGACCCGUCUGCCCCGCCUCCUGAUUCUGCCCAAGUUCUCCCUGGAGAGUGAAGUUGACCUCAGGAGGCCCUUGGAGAACUUGGGGAUGACCAACAUCUUUAGUCCAAGCCAGGCGGACUUCUCGAAUUUUUUCAGAUCAAGAGCCUCUUUACGUAUCGCAGGCACUGCAAAAAGUGAAGAUCAAGGUGAAUGAAAGAGGCACGGAGGCAUCCUCCUCUACAGCCAUUACCGUUUCAGCCCGAAUGGCCCCUGAGGAGAUCAUCAUGGACAGACCCUUCCUCUUUGUGGUGCGGCACAACCCCACAGGAACGGUCCUUUUCAUGGGCCAAGUGAUGGAACCCUGACCAUGAAAAAAGAAGUUCUCAACUGGGACAGAACUGGAGAUGUAUCAGAGAAGAAGAAACUGCGAAGAAAAUAACUUUUAAUUAGCCUUUCUGGAGAAGAGAAGAUAUUCGCUUUUUUUUUUAAAUGGUAAAUCUGGCUUUUAGAACUCAGCCUCUCCAAGGGAGAAAAGGGGACCUUCCGAUAAAACCCCCCAGUAGAGACCCUGGCAGGGACUGCUGAAGCAUUGCUCCCCGGAGGUCUCCAAAUCCGACUGUAAAACUCUCAGAGCCACGUGUGCAGCUGCUUCUGCCCAUCACUCUGCCUUUUCGGGUCUUCAGAUCUGGAUCCCACUGAGGCCCUGGCAGAUGGCACCGCAAGGCUUACGGAGAAACUGUUCCAGUCACGUGGCCCUCACUCUUGCACUGUCUGCCACUGCUGAGGAGGCUGGCGUCAGGCCAGAGAAGACCAAUGGAAGAAACACCUUUCAUUGCAAGAUCCAUCCUUCUCCAGCACAGAGGGGCUGUGACCAGUUGCAGGGUCUCACCCUGGCCUGGCUGUCUCCCUCCCCAGAAACAGUGAGCAUCUAUUAUUUCUGAGUGUAGGUGACUUGUUUACUUAUAGAAGCAGGUUUCUGCUUCCCACAAACUUUAUUUUGCAGGAAUAGAGGAAGGUGUGCUCUAAUCUCCUAGUGGGGAGGGUAGGAUGACAGAGGUGUGCUUGAAUAUUUAUCACUUUCUUGUGUGCUUGUUAGAGAGAAAGAGGACUAUUUAACAAAAAAGCAUAUUAUUUAAACCUGCUUAGUGUUCCUUUGUGAUCUGUGUGAUUGCAUCUCAGGAGUCUGGUCUCUUAGCUGCCACACCCCUCUGGGCGGCGAGCGUGAGGGGCCCACACUGCCACCUUGUGGCUGCCCCGUCGCUCUUCUUUCCUUUCCUUUCCACUUGGUGGAUUAGGACUCCUGCCAAGAUUACCCAACUUCCCACUUUAGGGACCCAAAGGAUGUGGUGGGUGAGAGAGAUUAGAGUGAGGGCAGAGGGAUUUUAAAAUUUUCCAAUGCAUUUAGGAGCAGGAGUGCAAAGGGAUGCACGACCUAGCAGGACAGAACUUUCCCCCAAUUAUAGGGUGACUCACAGCUGCAUCGGUGACUCACUUCAGUGUGUCAUUUCCGGCUGCUGUGUGUGAGCGGUGGACACGUGAGAAAGGGAGAGAGAAAAUGAGGGGGAAUGAAAGAGAGACAGUGAAUUCAGGCUCAACUACCCCAGUUAGGUAAUUUUCCUGAAAACCAGCUAGCUAAGGGGGGUGGCAUGAAGACCAAUUUGUUGAAGAAUUGCACAUAGAUGUCAAAUGAAUGCAUCCUAAUAGAAUCCUCAUCAUCCCAAUGUGUUCUUCAGCAAAAAAUCUUGGUCCUUUGUUGUUGUUGUUUUCUUUCUUCAUUAUGCACUGGACAGUGAUAGCCACAACUAUACUCACAAGGAGACCCAAAUGUAGGGUCCAAUGUUUUUGAAAUUGUGUUGAAUUAUAUGCUUUUUCACUUAUGAUAUAUAAAAAGUAAAAAUGUUUUUUAAAACAAUAAAGUAAAUAAAGAAAAAGAAUAUUCCAAAAA